AGUGAACGCUGGCGGUAGGCCUAACACAUGCAAGUCGAACGGCAGCACAGUAAGAGCUUGCUCUUACGGGUGGCGAGUGGCGGACGGGUGAGGAAUACAUCGGAAUCUACUUUUUCGUGGGGGAUAACGUAGGGAAACUUACGCUAAUACCGCAUACGACCUACGGGUGAAAGCAGGGGAUCUUCGGACCUUGCGCGAUUGAAUGAGCCGAUGUCGGAUUAGCUAGUUGGCGGGGUAAAGGCCCACCAGGGCGACGAUCCGUAGCUGGUCUGAGAGGAUGAUCAGCCACACUGGAACUGAGACACGGUCCAGACUCCUACGGGAGGCAGCAGUGGGGAAUAUUGGACAAUGGGCGCAAGCCUGAUCCAGCCAUACCGCGUGGGUGAAGAAGGCCUUCGGGUUGUAAAGCCCUUUUGUCGGGAAAGAAAAGCAGCAGGUUAAUACCCCGCUGUUCUGACGGUACCCAAAGAAUAAGCACCGGCUAACUUCGU
This 491-nucleotide ribosomal RNA is filed under the name uncultured bacterium. RNAcentral describes it as "partial 16S ribosomal RNA". It matches the Rfam family "Bacterial small subunit ribosomal RNA", at positions 29 to 506 of the family's 1533-position model. The record is from RNAcentral.